GGAGGUGUGGUGCAGAUCAGGGUGUCAGAUGUUGUGGUUGAGGACGACCCAAAUGCUGAAAUUCUGCAUUGGUUGGAUUGCAUGAGCUUUUCUCUUUGGGGGUGUUGUGUGGAAUUGAUUCUUUAUGCGUGAAGGAUCAGUUUUGAGAGAAUGUUAUAGGGAUUUGUAGUUCCAAGAGGAUGCGCGGAGGAUGAACAGUGAAAAAGUCAGAAACAAACGAGUCAAUGGUGGUUGGAAACUGGAAAGAAUGGCUUAUGAACACAGAUGAAAGGUAAAUUCAGACUGCAAAUUUGAAACCUCUCCGCUUUUGACCUCUGUCGUCAAUGGUUGCCUCCUAUUGUUUCUCUUUUAUUUCUAAGCUAUUCAUUCAUCUGGUUCCCUGAAUAAAGAGAAUUUUUUCUGAUU
This is a non-coding RNA of Cucurbita pepo subsp. pepo (vegetable marrow), 405 nucleotides long. Lineage: Eukaryota; Viridiplantae; Streptophyta; Magnoliopsida; Cucurbitales; Cucurbitaceae. The record is from RefSeq and is a predicted model, not a curated record.